UAUAAGCCUACUCCUAAGAUCCAUACGUUGU
This 31-nucleotide non-coding RNA is filed under the name Rattus norvegicus (Norway rat). The record is from RNAcentral. Lineage: Eukaryota; Metazoa; Chordata; Mammalia; Rodentia; Muridae.